This is a long non-coding RNA of Ictalurus punctatus (channel catfish), 1662 nucleotides long. The record is from Ensembl. NCBI's taxonomy places the organism in Eukaryota, Metazoa, Chordata, Actinopteri, Siluriformes, Ictaluridae.
CAGAGGUGAAAGUCACAGCUUUAGAAAUUCAGUGAAGUAGGUCUAUAUGAUUGUUAUUAUUAUUAUUCUUAUUAUUCUGAAACGCUUCAUGGUCGGGUAUUUUAAUAACCUUUAAUAACCGGAUCUUUUAUCACCUAUAUGAGGGGAUAAUAGGUAUCAUUGACUCACAGGCGUGAACGUACUUGAGCAGGUGAAUAUUGAUAUGACAACGCUGGCCGAAGUGUCGAGCAGUCAUUUAACCCAAUUACACUCCAUGCGCGUCGUGUUAUGUGCCGAACGAUCGGGUGUUGAACUCCAGUAAUGAGUUCGAUUUUAUGCCAAAUUUAGACCCUCUUUACUGUUUCCGAGGCGUAGCGACUGAGAGGCACCCGCCAAUGCAAUGCUCUGAGGUGUUUGGGGAAUAUGCGUCUCGGUUAUACUCUUAAUGGUGUGAAAGGUUGAAUAAAUAGCACUGCGGAUUACGGACGCGGGUGCAAUCGCCAUGAGCACCGUGUGCCUGCGCCUCUAGACCCUUUCUCAAGGAAACCUCUAUAGCUCUACCCUCCUCCGCAGCCCUGGACUUCAGCCGCUGUUUUUCUAUGGUUUUCUCGAGGGACAGAUUACACUUGCCUCAUUCGGCCGUCUGACUGGCCGAGAGAAACCUACACUCUCAGAAAAAAGAAAAAAAAAAAAAUAGUACUAAACUGUACCUUUCCUUGUCACUGGGGUGGUACACUCAAUCGAGGGUACUUGUUUUAUGUCUGUUUCACAUGGAAACAUGGAUGUAGUGUAUACCAUUACAAAUGAUUUAAGGUACAUAAAUGAAAUGGACCAUGAUUAAAGCUUUUCUCUAAAAACUGAAGGCACACUCACUAUAAGCAGCAUUCGAGGUAAUUCAUAGUAAAGGUACACAAGGUGUAAGUGUGAUUGUGGGUACCAACCCAGUGAGACUGAAAGGUACGGUUUACUCUCUCUACAACCGAGCAGAUCCACAGGAAUAUCACCUAAUAUUUAUAUAUUUAUUUCUUUUUAAAUAACUAAAGAACGAAGAGCAACCUUCUUUUAAAGAGAAUUACACUGAAUUGGGACAGGGUGUGUUCCACUAAAACAGCCUUUAUACCCUUUCACUCUUUUAUUAGCUUAUUUGUACAAAGUUAAAGUGAGAAAAAAACAAUAAUGAUGAACUAAAUGUUAGAUUGCUUUCUUUUUUUUUGUUUUGUUUUAUGAAAGACUAGAAUGUUUUUGUUUGUUUGUUUGUUUGUUUUUUAACAUUUAGGUGUGAAUUCCAGGAAAUGUUUCCACAGAUUCAUUGUGGAUCAUUCAAAUUAAAAUGACACACAAAUAAAUCUGUAAUUUGAUUACUGUAAGACGUGUUUUUAUUUACUUCUCACACAGAUACAAUUACACUUGCCUCAAUUAUUCACUUAUGGUCGUAGCUUACAUAUAUAGCUACAUAUACGUGUAAUUAUACGGGCUUUUCUUCUCAGACGAAGACAAAUACGAAGGUGUUUUUAUUAUUAUGUUUAAAAAAAAAUUACAGCAACACAGACAGAAUUUCCAAUAUGUCGACACAUUCACUGUCUGUCCUUGGAGCCUCAAGGCAGCACUUAGGCGAGAUAAGCAGUCCUAUUAUUCCUCUCUUUAAUGGUUCUGAUGAAGAUUGAUGAACUGUUUUCUUUACAG